This 419-nucleotide long non-coding RNA is filed under the name Rattus norvegicus (Norway rat). RNAcentral describes it as "long non-coding RNA NONRATT029292". The record is from RNAcentral. Lineage: Eukaryota; Metazoa; Chordata; Mammalia; Rodentia; Muridae.
CAAAUGUUGUUGUCCCCCCUCCCCUUCUCCCCGGGCCUUUAGUCCAGGUCUGUCAAGCCUGUUUGGCCGCUUGGAAAAAACUUCCUCCAAAGAACGGUGCUUCUGCAACUUUAACUAAGGUCCUUCAGGGACCUGAUGAGCCAUACAGUGCCUUCAUCAGCCGACUCGCUGAAAAGGCUGAACGGCUGUUUGGCAUACAAGAGCCUGAGAAUCCCUUUAUAAAACUACUUGCUUAUGAGAACGCCAACCCAGCCUGCCAAGAUAUUUUAAAACACCACUGUUCUAAGACCUUAGUUGAAUAUGUUUGCCUAUGUGCUGGAGCGGGGACCAGUCAUGCUAUCGGACUAGCAAUUGGUGCUGUCCUACAGUGGGCUGGGGUGUCAAACACCCCCAAGACCUGCUUUAAUUGCAAACAGGUG